AGCGGCCGCGGUUUAAUUACCCAAGUUUGAG
This 31-nucleotide unclassified non-coding RNA is filed under the name Caenorhabditis elegans. RNAcentral's name for it is "trans-spliced leader sequence SL1". Lineage: Eukaryota; Metazoa; Nematoda; Chromadorea; Rhabditida; Rhabditidae. The record is from RNAcentral.